CAGUGGGGAAUAUUGGACAAUGGGCGCAAGCCUGAUCCAGCCAUACCGCGUGGGUGAAGAAGGCCUUCGGGUUGUAAAGCCCUUUUGUUGGGAAAGAAAUCCUAUCGGUUAAUAACCGGUGGGGAUGACGGUACCCAAAGAAUAAGCACCGGCUAACUUCGUGCCAGCAGCCGCGGUAAUACGAAGGGUGCAAGCGUUACUCGGAAUUACUGGGCGUAAAGCGUGCGUAGGUGGUGGUUUAAGUCUGCUGUGAAAGCCCUGGGCUCAACCUGGGAAUUGCAGUGGAUACUGGAUCACUAGAGUGUGGUAGAGGGAUGCGGAAUUUCUGGUGUAGCAGUGAAAUGCGUAGAGAUCAGAAGGAACAUCCGUGGCGAAGGCGGCAUCCUGGGCCAACACUGACACUGAGGCACGAAAGCGUGGGGAGCAAACAGGAUUAGA
RNAcentral lists this ribosomal RNA (438 nucleotides) under uncultured bacterium. RNAcentral's name for it is "bacterial SSU rRNA". It matches the Rfam family "Bacterial small subunit ribosomal RNA", at positions 352 to 782 of the family's 1533-position model. The record is from RNAcentral.